RNAcentral lists this ribosomal RNA (429 nucleotides) under uncultured bacterium. Its description in RNAcentral is "bacterial SSU rRNA". It matches the Rfam family "Bacterial small subunit ribosomal RNA", at positions 355 to 775 of the family's 1533-position model. The record is from RNAcentral.
UGAGGAAUCUUGCGCAAUGGGGGAAACCCUGACGCAGCAACGCCGCGUGAGUGAGGAAGGUUUUCGAAUCGUAAAGCUCUGUCAGGUGGAAAGAAAUGUAUGAAAGUUAAUAGCUUCCAUGCUUGACGGUACCACCAGAGGAAGCACCGGCUAACUCCGUGCCAGCAGCCGCGGUAAUACGGGGGGUGCAAGCGUUGUUCGGAAUCAUUGGGCGUAAGGAGCGUGUAGGCGGCUUGAUAAGUCAGAUGUGAAAGCCCUGGGCUUAACCCAGGAAGUGCAUUUGAUACUGUCUUGCUUGAGUAAGGGAGAGGAAGGCGGAAUUCCUGGUGUAGAGGUGAAAUUCGUAGAUAUCAGGAGGAACACUGGUGGCGAAGGCGGCUUUCUGGCCCUAUACUGACGCUGAGACGCGAGAGCGUGGGUAGCAAACAG